RNAcentral lists this ribosomal RNA (720 nucleotides) under uncultured bacterium. RNAcentral describes it as "bacterial SSU rRNA". It matches the Rfam family "Bacterial small subunit ribosomal RNA", at positions 97 to 796 of the family's 1533-position model. The record is from RNAcentral.
GGCAAACGGGUGAGUAACACGUGGGUGACCUGCCUUCGAGUGGGGGAUAACGUCCCGAAAGGGACGCUAAUACCGCAUGACAUCCUGCCUUUAGACAGGUGGAGAUCAAAGCUGGGGAUCGCAAGACCUGGCACUUGAAGAGGGGCCCGCGCCUGAUUAGCUAGUUGGUGGGGUAAUGGCUCACCAAGGCAACGAUCAGUAUCCGGCCUGAGAGGGCGGACGGACACACUGGGACUGAGACACGGCCCAGACUCCUACGGGAGGCAGCAGUGGGGAAUUGUUCGCAAUGGGCGCAAGCCUGACGACGCAACGCCGCGUGGAGGAUGAAGAUCUUCGGGUCGUAAACUCCUGUCGAGCGGGAAGAACACCUUCUGGGCGAAUACCCCCGAGGGCUGACGGUACCGCUAAAGGAAGCCCCGGCUAACUCCGUGCCAGCAGCCGCGGUAAUACGGGGGGGGCAAGCGUUGUUCGGAAUUACUGGGCGUAAAGGGCUCGUAGGCGGCCAACUAAGUCAGACGUGAAAUCCCCAGGCUCAACCUGGGAACUGCGUCUGAUACUGAUUGGCUUGAAUCCGGGAGAGGGAUGCAGAAUUCCAGGUGUAGCGGUGAAAUGCGUAGAUAUCUGGAGGAAUACCGGUGGCGAAGGCGGCAUCCUGGACCGGCAUUGACGCUGAGGAGCGAAAGCCAGGGGAGCAAACGGGAUUAGAUACCCCGGUAGUCC